GAUGGCUGUUCCAACACCUUCUCCAUCAUGCAGUGAUAGGCUGAACUAAAAGGCAGACAAAACACAUCAGAAAAGGUCUGAAGGACACCGGAUUGUUGACUAUGCUUCAACAAAGACCUGACACAGCCUCAGUGGUCUUUCCCCAGCAUGAAGACAGCAUUCUUACUGCACAGGCUGUUCUUAGCCACAUUGUUUGGCCAGGAGAUGAGG
Molecule: long non-coding RNA, 210 nt
Organism: Oreochromis aureus
Lineage: Eukaryota; Metazoa; Chordata; Actinopteri; Cichliformes; Cichlidae
Exons: 3
Source: RefSeq, a predicted model, not a curated record